RNAcentral lists this ribosomal RNA (497 nucleotides) under uncultured bacterium. RNAcentral's name for it is "partial 16S ribosomal RNA". It matches the Rfam family "Bacterial small subunit ribosomal RNA", at positions 28 to 507 of the family's 1533-position model. The record is from RNAcentral.
GAUGAACGCUGGCGGCGUGCCUAAUACAUGCAAGUCGAGCGAACGGACGAGAAGCUUGCUUUUCUGAUGUUAGCGGCGGACGGGUGAGUAACACGUGGAUAACCUACCUAUAAGACUGGGAUAACUUCGGGAAACCGGAGCUAAUACCGGAUAAUAUUUUGAACCGCAUGGUUCAAAAGUGAAAGGCGGUCCUGCUGUCACUUAUAGAUGGAUCCGCGCUGCAUUAGCUAGUUGGUAAGGUAACGGCUUACCAGGGCAACGAUGCAUAGCCGACCUGAGAGGGUGAUCGGCCACACUGGAACUGAGACACGGUCCAGACUCCUACGGGAGGCAGCAGUAGGGAAUCUUCCGCAAUGGGCGAAAGCCUGACGGAGCAACGCCGCGUGAGUGAUGAAGGUCUUCGGAUCGUAAAACUCUGUUAUUAGGGAAGAACAUAUGUGUAAGUAACUGUGCACAUCUUGACGGUACCUAAUCAGUAAGCCACGGCUAACUACGUG